This 392-nucleotide ribosomal RNA is filed under the name uncultured bacterium. RNAcentral describes it as "bacterial SSU rRNA". It matches the Rfam family "Bacterial small subunit ribosomal RNA", at positions 28 to 428 of the family's 1533-position model. The record is from RNAcentral.
GUUGAACGCUGGCGGAAUGCUUUACACAUGCAAGUCGAGCGGCAGCGCGGGGCAACCUGGCGGCGAGCGGCGAACGGGUGAGUAAUGUAUCGGAACGUGUCCUUGAGUGGGGGAUAGCCCGGUGAAAACCGGAUUAAUACCGCAUACGCAGGAGACUGGAAAGCGGGGGAUCGCAAGACCUCGCGCUCUAGGAGCGGCCGAUAUCCGAUUAGUUUGUUGGUGAGGUAAAGGCUACCAAGGCGAUGAUCGGUAGCUGGUCUGAGAGGAUGAUCAGCCACACUGGGACUGAGACACGGCCCAGACUCCUACGGGAGGCAGCAGUGGGGAAUUUUGGACAAUGGGGGCAACCCUGAUCCAGCCAUUCCGCGUGAGUGAAGAAGGCCUCGGUGUAA